UACGGAGGGUGCAAGCGUUAUCCGGAUUCACUGGGUUUAAAGGGUGCGUAGGCGGACAACUAAGUCGGAUGUGAAAUCCCCAGGCUCAACUUGGGAACUGCAUCCGAUACUGGAUGGCUUGAAUUCGGGAGAGGGAUGCAGAAUUCCAGGUGUAGCGGUGAAAUGCGUAGAUAUCUGGAGGAAUACCGGUGGCGAAGGCGGCAUCCUGGACCGACAUUGACGCUGAGGAGCGAAAGCUAGGGGAGCAAACGGGG
RNAcentral lists this ribosomal RNA (254 nucleotides) under uncultured bacterium. Its description in RNAcentral is "partial 16S ribosomal RNA". It matches the Rfam family "Bacterial small subunit ribosomal RNA", at positions 524 to 777 of the family's 1533-position model. The record is from RNAcentral.